RNAcentral lists this ribosomal RNA (403 nucleotides) under uncultured bacterium. RNAcentral describes it as "bacterial SSU rRNA". It matches the Rfam family "Bacterial small subunit ribosomal RNA", at positions 356 to 774 of the family's 1533-position model. The record is from RNAcentral.
GGGGAAUAUUGGGCAAUGGACGCAAGUCUGACCCAGCAACGCCGCGUGAAGGAAGAAGGCUUUCGGGAUGUAAACUUCUUUUAAGGGGGAAGAGUAGAAGACGGUACCCCUUGAAUAAGCGCCGGCUAACUACGUGCCAGCAGCCGCGGUAAUACGUAGGGCGCGAGCGUUGUCCGGAUUUAUUGGGCGUAAAGAGCUCGUAGGCGGUUUGUUGCGUCUGCUGUGAAAACGCGGGGCUUAACUUCGCGCGUGCAGUGGGUACGGGCAGGCUAGAGUGCGGUAGGGGAGAUUGGAAUUCCUGGUGUAGCGGUGGAAUGCGCAGAUAUCAGGAGGAACACCGAUGGCGAAGGCAGGUCUCUGGGCCGUUACUGACGCUGAGGAGCGAAAGCGUGGGGAGCGAACA